Poecilia latipinna (sailfin molly) is the source of this 174-nucleotide long non-coding RNA. RefSeq lists it as uncharacterized. The record is from RefSeq and is a predicted model, not a curated record. The transcript has 3 exons. Lineage: Eukaryota; Metazoa; Chordata; Actinopteri; Cyprinodontiformes; Poeciliidae.
AUUUAUUUAUUUAUUUCCUAUUUAUCUAAUUUACUAUUAUUUUUAUGAAGAGGCUAUUUCAACCUGGGUUACACAACUACAAAGCAUUUUUGAGAAGUCUGGAUUGCUUCAUGUGUAUUUUGCACAUUGUUUUUGACUGUUGCUCAUGGGGAGACAUUUCAGUAAUCUAAAACU